GCCACGUUAGCUUAAUGUAAAGCACCUAUAUAUGAUAUAGGAGAUCUAGGUUCAAAUCCUAGGCGUGGCA
This 70-nucleotide transfer RNA is filed under the name Clytia hemisphaerica. Its description in RNAcentral is "tRNA-His for anticodon AUG". It matches the Rfam family "tRNA". Rfam says of the family: Transfer RNA (tRNA) molecules are approximately 80 nucleotides in length. Their secondary structure includes four short double-helical elements and three loops (D, anti-codon, and T loops). Further hydrogen bonds mediate the characteristic L-shaped molecular structure. tRNAs have two regions of fundamental functional importance: the anti-codon, which is responsible for specific mRNA codon recognition, and the 3' end, to which the tRNAs corresponding amino acid is attached (by aminoacyl-tRNA synthetases). tRNAs cope with the degeneracy of the genetic code in two manners: having more than one tRNA (with a specific anti-codon) for a particular amino acid; and 'wobble' base-pairing, i.e. permitting non-standard base-pairing at the 3rd anti-codon position. The record is from Rfam by way of RNAcentral. Lineage: Eukaryota; Metazoa; Cnidaria; Hydrozoa; Leptothecata; Clytiidae.